RNAcentral lists this ribosomal RNA (844 nucleotides) under Providencia alcalifaciens. Its description in RNAcentral is "bacterial SSU rRNA". It matches the Rfam family "Bacterial small subunit ribosomal RNA", at positions 535 to 1366 of the family's 1533-position model. The record is from RNAcentral. Lineage: Bacteria; Pseudomonadati; Pseudomonadota; Gammaproteobacteria; Enterobacterales; Morganellaceae.
CGGGGCUUAGUCGGUUUACUGGGCGUAAGCGCACGCAGGCGGUUGAUUAAGUUAGAUGUGAAAUCCCCGGGCUCAACCUGGGAAUUGCAUUUGAAACUGGCCAGCUAGAGUCUUGUAGAGGGGGGUAGAAUUCCAUGUGUAGCGGUGAAAUGCGUAGAGAUGUGGAGGAAUACCGGUGGCGAAGGCGGCCCCCUGGACAAAGACUGACGCUCAGGUGCGAAAGCGUGGGGAGCAAACAGGAUUAGAUACCCUGGUAGUCCACGCUGUAAACGAUGUCGAUUUGGAGGUUGUGCCCUUGAGCCGUGGCUUCCGGAGCUAACGCGUUAAAUCGACCGCCUGGGGAGUACGGCCGCAAGGUUAAAACUCAAAUGAAUUGACGGGGGCCCGCACAAGCGGUGGAGCAUGUGGUUUAAUUCGAUGCAACGCGAAGAACCUUACCUACUCUUGACAUCCAGAGAAUCCUGCAGAGAUGCUUUAGUGCCUUCGGGAACUCUGAGACAGGUGCUGCAUGGCUGUCGUCAGCUCGUGUUGUGAAAUGUUGGGUUAAGUCCCGCAACGAGCGCAACCCUUAUCCUUUGUUGCCAGCCCUUAGUGCUGGAAACUCAAUGAAAAUUGCCGAGAAAACCCGAAGGAGGUGGGGUAGACCUCCCAUUCUCCUGGCCCUUUAGGGUUCGGGCUACACACUUGCUACAAUGGCAGAGACCAGGAAAAGCGAGCUCGGGAGACCAUCUCGAAUCCCUGAAGUCGGUCGUAUCCGGAUUUGGAUCUGAAUUCGACUUCUCUGAAUUCGGAUUCCUCGUAAUCCAAAAUCACAUGGUACGUGAUCCGGUCCCCCAAGGCUAAA